This 291-nucleotide ribosomal RNA is filed under the name uncultured bacterium. Its description in RNAcentral is "partial 16S ribosomal RNA". It matches the Rfam family "Bacterial small subunit ribosomal RNA", at positions 335 to 640 of the family's 1533-position model. The record is from RNAcentral.
UUUCCUACGGGACGCAGCAGUGGGGAAUAUUGGGCAAUGGGCGCAAGCCUGACCCAGCAACGCCGCGUGAAGGAAGAAGGCUUUCGGGUUGUAAACUUCUUUUCUCAGGGACGAAGAAAGUGACGGUACCUGAGGAAUAAGCCACGGCUAACUACGUGCCAGCAGCCGCGGUAAUACGUAGGUGGCAAGCGUUAUCCGGAUUUAUUGGGUGUAAAGGGCGUGUAGGCGGGAGCGCAAGUCAGAUGUGAAAACUCAGGGCUCAACCCUGAGCCUGCAUUUGAAACUGUGUUU